GCUGGCGGCAGGCCUAAUACAUGCAAGUCGAGCGCGCCCUUCGGGGUGAGCGGCGGACGGGUUAGUAACGCGUGGGAACGUGCCCUUCUCUAAGGAAUAGCCACUGGAAACGGUGAGUAAUACCUUACUACGCCCCCCAAUCAAAUUCCAUUUGGUUGACGGAAAUUCUGUUGAAUGCCGGAUGGCAUUUGAUGGGGGGGAAAGAUUUAUCGGAGAAGGAUCGGCCCGCGUUAGAUUAGAUAGUUGGUGGGGUAAUGGCCUACCAAGUCUACGAUCUAUAGCUGGUUUUAGAGGAUGAUCAGCAACACUGGGACUGAGACACGGCCCAGACUCCUACGGGAGGCAGCAGUAGGGAAUCUUGGACAAUGGGCGCAAGCCUGAUCCAGCCAUGCCGCGUGAGUGAAGAAGGCCUUAGGGUCGUAAAGCUCUUUCGCCUGUGAUGAUAAUGACAGUAGCAGGUAAAGAAACCCCGGCUAACUCCGUGCCAGCAGCCGCGGUAAUACGGAGGGGGUUAGCGUUGUUCGGAAUUACUGGGCGUAAAGCGCGCGUAGGC
This 553-nucleotide ribosomal RNA is filed under the name uncultured Alphaproteobacteria bacterium. RNAcentral describes it as "bacterial SSU rRNA". It matches the Rfam family "Bacterial small subunit ribosomal RNA", at positions 35 to 576 of the family's 1533-position model. Lineage: Bacteria; Pseudomonadati; Pseudomonadota; Alphaproteobacteria. The record is from RNAcentral.